UUUUCCUGUUCCUAACUGGCUGCAUGUCACUCUAUCUGAAUUGGCCACCUAAAUCCUCUUUGCCAAUCCUAGAUCUACCUUAGGACCUUAGAGAAUCCCGACAUGCUGCUGAGUACAUUUUAGGAGUCCUGUCAUAGAUGCUUAAAGGGUCCCCGCCUGGCCCCAAACGAAGCUAAAACACAGCCAUUAGAGAAAAUGCACUGUCAUUCAUGGCCUUACUCAGCAUGGCUUUCUGGGGAAGACUACUGAGCAGGCUGAGAGUCCCGUGGGGCCUGGACACAGCUCUUCUAGCCCCGAGCCUGUGAGCCAUAUGGGCUCAUGACAACCAGCUCCUUGGGGGCAAUGGCCAGUCAUUAGAUAGCUGUUUCCUUAUCUUAUGAUAAAGGUGCCUCCGCGCCCACAAAGACCUGUUCAGUAGUGAAGAGAGGGCUCUGAAAUGUCUCCUCUAUUGGAUCUCAUACAAGCAACUGUGGACCAAAUAGGGCACUAUUUUCCAGAUGCAACUAUGCGGGGCUCUGAAUCUUAGCCCACAGGACACUUGACACCUGCAAAGAUGAGGGCCAGACACUGCAUGUCAAGUCCCACUGGCUCCGGUCCUCCAAGCCUUGGGAGCGGGAAGUUGGGGUCACCCAUCUGUCGUGUGU
This 644-nucleotide long non-coding RNA is filed under the name Bos taurus (domestic cattle). RNAcentral describes it as "long non-coding RNA NONBTAT019014". Lineage: Eukaryota; Metazoa; Chordata; Mammalia; Artiodactyla; Bovidae. The record is from RNAcentral.